GACGAACGCUGGCGGCGUGCCUAACGCAUGCAAGUCGGACGGGCAGGGGCCUCUGGGUCCUGCGACCGUGGCGGACGGGUGCGGAACACGUACGUGACCUGCCCGGUAGUGGGGGAUAACCCCUCGAAAGGGGGGCUAAUACCGCGAUGUGGUCGCUGGGCUGCGGUCCAGCGAGUAAAGCCUGGUGAUGAGCCGGGCGCUACCGGAGGGGCGUGCGGCGGAUUAGCUCGUUGGUGGGGUAAUGGCCCACCAAGGCGACGAUCCGUAGCUGGUCUGAGAGGAUGGCCAGCCACACGGGGACUGAGACACGGCCCCGACUCCGUACGGGAGGCAGCA
RNAcentral lists this ribosomal RNA (336 nucleotides) under uncultured bacterium. RNAcentral's name for it is "bacterial SSU rRNA". It matches the Rfam family "Bacterial small subunit ribosomal RNA", at positions 28 to 353 of the family's 1533-position model. The record is from RNAcentral.